Ornithodoros turicata is the source of this 759-nucleotide long non-coding RNA. RefSeq lists it as uncharacterized. NCBI's taxonomy places the organism in Eukaryota, Metazoa, Arthropoda, Arachnida, Ixodida, Argasidae. The record is from RefSeq and is a predicted model, not a curated record. The transcript is spliced from 3 exons.
CCUACUAUAGCGCCAUUAUCUCUAGCCGUUUCUUCUUCCUUCUCUGUUCGGUACUAUCGUACCCGUUCCAAAUGAGUGGUGCCCUCCGUCAGGUUUGACGCUGCAUGGGCCUGCAGUGCGUGCCAGUGCCAUUUCAUUGACUGCUCUCAACCGCCUGGGCGGUCCAGUCCUGUCAAGCUCCGAGAAACUCUGUACGAUCUGCGUCGCAUUGGUGUGCCCCCCCUUUCUGUAAUUUUCCCCUUCGAUCCCGCGGAACCCGCAAUGUCCACUACAGUCGAUGGGCUACGGAGAUCCGUCAGGAUCAAAGAAAAGUUGACUUCACAAGCCAAAAAAUCUUCAAAUGAAAAUGAAGGUGCCCCUGGCAACGCUGAGCGCAAACUACCGGCGGCCAGAGCUACUACUCGCGUUGGUGUAAACGUGGACGGCGUGGUAGAAAUUAUCACCGGUGUUGGGUUACUUCAACUCCAAGAUAGAAAGAAAACAGUCUCGAGGAUGAAGAAACAGAAGAGUCAGGAAAUGAAUGUUGAAGAUGAUGAAAAGGAGUCUACAGGGAGGAAGACUAGGAGUCGUCCCCUGCAAGACGUAUCCAAUGCCGUCAAGAAAAAGACUCAACGAAGUACUCAGUCCUCGCAAGCGAAUAAAAAUGUUGAUUGAAACCUUUUUAUUGCAGAAUUUUUACCUAUUUGUUUUAAACAUUGAAGCAAUAAUGGUUCGUGUGAGGCAGGUAUAUACGAGUUAAUAAACGUGCUCUAGUUGUGA